ACAGACUCAGAGCAGAGACAUACACAGACUCAGCGCAGAGACAGACACAGACAAAGGGGCAACGAUAGCACCAGAACCUGAGUACAGACAGAAAGCACAUUAAGUUAUUGGAGAUGUCUGAGGACAUCUAUGCUGUGCCAGAUAUGACAAAGAAGGUCAAGUUUAACAGAGGUGAGAUGAAGGAGAGGAUUGUGGAUAUCUAUGUCAGUGCAGACACCCUGAGAGACGGUGAGACCAGCACAAAGAGAGAAGAGACAGCAGACACUGCUCCUAAUAAUGGACCAGGAGACCAGCACUCAGUACAUGUUCAGUGGUGGAAGAGACCCUCUGGAGUUGCUGCAGUGUGUCUGGGGCUGCUGUGUGUUCUCCUACUGGCUGGGAUCAUAGGUCUGUCGUUACAAUGUAAGUCUACAGUAUAUCUAUACUAAACAACAAAAUGCAACAUGCAAACAUUUCUAAGAUUUUACUGAUUUACAGUUCAUGUCAGUCAAUUGAAAUAAAUAAAUUAGGCCCUAAUCUAUGGAUGUCACGUGACUGGCAGAGGAUCAGCCAUGGGUGGGCCUUGAAGGGCAUAGGUCCACCCACUUCAGAUCAAAUCAAAUCAAAUGUAUUUGUCACAUACACAUGGUGAGCAGAUGUUAUUGCGAGUGUAGCGAAAUGCUUGUGCUUCUAGUUCCGACAAUGCAGUAAUAACCAACGAGUAAUCUAACCUAACCAUUCAAAAACUACUACCUUAUACACACAAGUGUAAAGGGAUAAAGAAUAUGUACAUAAAGAUAUAUGAAUGAGUGAUGGUACAGAACGGCAUAGGCAAGAUGCAGUAGAUGGUAUCGAGUACAGUAUAUACAUAUGAGAUGAGUAAUGUAGGGUAGGUAAACAUUAUAUUAAGUAGCAUUGUUUAAAGUGGCUAGUGAUGUAUUUUACAUCAAUUUCCAUCAAUUCCCAUUAUUAAAGUGUCUGGGGUUGAGUCAGUGUGUUGGCAGCAGCCACUCAAUGUUAGUGGUGGCUGUUUAACAGUCUGAUGGCCUUGAGAUAGAAGCUGUUUUUCAGUCUCUCCGUCCCUGCUUUGAUGCACCUGUACUGACCUUCUGGCCUUCUGGCCUCUGCAUGAUAGCGGUGUGAACAGGCAGUCGGGUGGUUGAUGUCCUUGAUGAUCUUUAUG
Molecule: long non-coding RNA, 1162 nt
Organism: Oncorhynchus tshawytscha (Chinook salmon)
Lineage: Eukaryota; Metazoa; Chordata; Actinopteri; Salmoniformes; Salmonidae
Source: Ensembl